Molecule: ribosomal RNA, 468 nt
Filed under: uncultured bacterium
Lineage: Bacteria
Description: partial 16S ribosomal RNA
Rfam family: Bacterial small subunit ribosomal RNA
Source: RNAcentral
GACGAACGCUGGCGGCGUGCUUAACACAUGCAAGUCGAACGGAAAGGCCCUGCUUUUGUGGGGUGCUCGAGUGGCGAACGGGUGAGUAACACGUGAGUAACCUGCCCUUGACUUUGGGAUAACUUCAGGAAACUGGGGCUAAUACCGGAUAGGAGCUCCUGCUGCAUGGUGGGGGUUGGAAAGUUUCGGCGGUUGGGGAUGGACUCGCGGCUUAUCAGCUUGUUGGUGGGGUAGUGGCUUACCAAGGCUUUGACGGGUAGCCGGCCUGAGCGGGUGGCCGGCCACAUUGGGACUGAGAGAGGGCCCAGACUCCUACGGGAGGCAGCAGUGGGAAAUAUUGCACAAUGGGGGGACGCCUGAUGCAGCAACGCCGCGUGCGGGAUGACGGCCUUCGGGUUGUAAACCGCUUUCGCCUGUGACGAAGCGUGAGUGACGGUAAUGGGUAAAGAAGCACCGGCUAACUACGUG